GCAAGAUCUCACCGUCCCUCACCAUGAUCAGGAUGAAGAAGUGAAAGACAUCAAAGCUGAGAUUAAAGAGGAAGAAGAAGAGACGUUGGUGAGUGGAGCUCAGCAGUCUACGGAGGAGGAAAAGGUGAACGUGAAAUGCAAACCGGAGGAAUCUUCUCUUUAUAUCGGCACAAAUGGGCACUACGUCUGGAAUACUUCUGAAGGACAUCUUGUUUUAUCACAACAUUAUAACGCAGAAGAUAACGCCAUCACACAAUAUUCUCCAGG
This is a long non-coding RNA of Nanorana parkeri, 267 nucleotides long. RefSeq lists it as uncharacterized. The record is from RefSeq and is a predicted model, not a curated record. Lineage: Eukaryota; Metazoa; Chordata; Amphibia; Anura; Dicroglossidae. The transcript has 3 exons.